UAAUACAUGCAAGUAGAACGNCUGAAGGAGGAGCUUGCUCUUCUGGAAGAGUUGCGAACGGGUGAGUAACGCGUAGGUAACCUGCCUCUUAGCGGGGGAUAACUAUUGGAAACGAUAGCUAAUACCGCAUAAAAGUCGACAUUGCAUGAUGUUGACUUGAAAGGUGCAAAUGCAUCACUAAGAGAUGGACCUGCGUUGUAUUAGCUAGUUGGUGAGGUAACGGCUCACCAAGGCGACGAUACAUAGCCGACCUGAGAGGGUGAUCGGCCACACUGGGACUGAGACACGGCCCAGACUCCUACGGGAGGCAGCAGUAGGGAAUCUUCGGCAAUGGGGGCAACCCUGACCGAGCAACGCCGCGUGAGUGAAGAAGGUUUUCGGAUCGUAAAGCUCUGUUGUAAGAGAAGAACGAGUGUGAGAGUGGAAAGUUCACGCUGUGACGGUAUCUUACCAGAAAGGGACGGCUAACUACGUGCCAGCAGCCGCGGUAAUACGUAGGUCCCGAGCGUUAUCCGGAUUUAUUGGGCGUAAAGCGAGCGCAGGCGGUUAGAUAAGUCUGAAGUUAAAGGCUGUGGC
This 576-nucleotide ribosomal RNA is filed under the name uncultured Bacilli bacterium. Its description in RNAcentral is "bacterial SSU rRNA". It matches the Rfam family "Bacterial small subunit ribosomal RNA", at positions 49 to 608 of the family's 1533-position model. The record is from RNAcentral. Lineage: Bacteria; Bacillati; Bacillota; Bacilli.